GCCCAGACUCCUACGGGAGGCAGCAGUGAGGAAUAUUGGUCAAUGGCCGGAAGGCUGAACCAGCCAAGCCGCGUGAAGGACGAAGGUGCCAAGCAUUGUAAACCUCUUUUGUCGGGGAGCAAAAGACGCCACGCGUGGCGUUCCGAGAGUACCCGAAGAAAAAGCAUCGGCUAACUCCGUGCCAGCAGCCGCGGUAAUACGGAGGAUGCGAGCGUUAUCCGGAUUUAUUGGGUUUAAAGGGUGCGUAGGCGGGAUGCCAAGUCAGCGGUAAAAAUGCGGUGCUCAACGCCGUCGAGCCGUUGAAACUGGCGUUCUUGAGUGGGCGAGAAGUAUGCGGAAUGCGUGGUGUAGCGGUGAAAUGCAUAGAUAUCACGCAGAACUCCGAUUGCGAAGGCAGCAUACCGGCGCCCUACUGACGCUGAGGCACGAAAGCGUGGGUAUCGAACAGGAUUAGAUACCCCUGUA
RNAcentral lists this ribosomal RNA (465 nucleotides) under uncultured bacterium. RNAcentral describes it as "bacterial SSU rRNA". It matches the Rfam family "Bacterial small subunit ribosomal RNA", at positions 329 to 792 of the family's 1533-position model. The record is from RNAcentral.